UUUUAAAAAAUAAGGACACAG
This 21-nucleotide non-coding RNA is filed under the name Caenorhabditis elegans. Lineage: Eukaryota; Metazoa; Nematoda; Chromadorea; Rhabditida; Rhabditidae. The record is from RNAcentral.